GGGGGGGGGGGGGGGGGGGGGGGGGGGGGGGGGGGCGGGGGGGGGGGGGGGGCGUGGGGGGGGGGGUCGGGGGGCGGACGGGGGAGGAACACGUGAGUAGCCUGCCCUUGACGUUGGGAUAACUUCAGGAAACUGGGGCUAAUACCGGAUAGGAGCUCCUGCUGCAUGGUGGGGGUUGGCAAGUUUCGGCGGGUGGGGAUGGACUCGCGGCUUAUCAGCUUGUUGGUGGGGUAGUGGCUUACCAAGGCUUUGACGGGUAGCCGGCCUGAGAGGGUGACCGGUCACAUUGGGACUGAGAUACGGCCCAGACUCCUACGGGAGGCAGCAGUGGGGAAUAUUGCACAAUGGGCGGAAGCCUGAUGCAGCAACGCCGCGUGCGGGAUGACGGCCUUCGGGUUGUAAACCGCUUUCGCCUGUGACGAAGCGUGAGUGACGGUAAUGGGUAAAGAAGCACCGGCUAACUACGUG
RNAcentral lists this ribosomal RNA (468 nucleotides) under uncultured bacterium. Its description in RNAcentral is "partial 16S ribosomal RNA". The stretch from base 49 to 468 matches the Rfam family "Bacterial small subunit ribosomal RNA", at positions 39 to 507 of the family's 1533-position model. The record is from RNAcentral.